This 491-nucleotide ribosomal RNA is filed under the name Colletotrichum graminicola. RNAcentral's name for it is "eukaryotic LSU rRNA". The stretch from base 192 to 345 matches the Rfam family "5.8S ribosomal RNA". The record is from RNAcentral. Lineage: Eukaryota; Fungi; Ascomycota; Sordariomycetes; Glomerellales; Glomerellaceae.
CAUUACUGAGUUACCGCUCUAUAACCCUUUGUGAACAUACCUAACUGUUGCUUCGGCGGGUUAGGGGGUCCCCCCGGGGACGCCCUCCCGGCCGCGCCCUCCUCCUCCGGGAGGGGUCGCGGCGCCCGCCGGAGGAUAACCAAACUCUGAUUUAACGACGUUUCUUCUGAGUGGCACAAGCAAAUAAUUAAAACUUUUAACAACGGAUCUCUUGGUUCUGGCAUCGAUGAAGAACGCAGCGAAAUGCGAUAAGUAAUGUGAAUUGCAGAAUUCAGUGAAUCAUCGAAUCUUUGAACGCACAUUGCGCCCGCCAGCAUUCUGGCGGGCAUGCCUGUUCGAGCGUCAUUUCAACCCUCAAGCUUCGCUUGGUGUUGGGGCACUACGGUUGACGUAGGCCCUCAAAAGUAGUGGCGGACCCUCCCGGAGCCUCCUUUGCGUAGUAACUAACGUCUCGCAUCGGGAUCCGGAGGGACUCUUGCCGUAAAACCCCC